Lachnobacterium bovis DSM 14045 is the source of this 175-nucleotide ribosomal RNA. It matches the Rfam family "Bacterial small subunit ribosomal RNA", at positions 1 to 157 of the family's 1533-position model. Lineage: Bacteria; Bacillati; Bacillota; Clostridia; Lachnospirales; Lachnospiraceae. The record is from Rfam.
UAAAAUGAGAGUUUGAUCCUGGCUCAGGAUGAACGCUGGCGGCGUGCUUAACACAUGCAAGUCGAACGAAGCGCAUUGUUUGAAUUCUUCGGAAGGAAGAUAAUGUGACUGAGUGGCGGACGGGUGAGUAACGCGUGGGUAACCUGCCAUGUACAGGGGGACAACAGUUGGAAAC